UGGCAGCGUCGGUUGGGGGAGGGCUCGCGCUUCUCUUGGUUGCCAUGGUGAUCUUCUGUGUCUGCAGGAAGAAGAAAAGAGAAGUUUCAACAGCGAAGUCUAAUGGCCAGUCAAACGAUGUUGUGUACUCGACAUGCAGAGGAGACCAAACCUCCCCACCAGGAGACAGCUAUGAAUUGGAAUAUGCGGAGGUGUCCAUCCUACAGAGGAAGAGGCGAGAGGAGAAGAGGAGAGAGGAGGAGGAGACAGUGGAAUAUGGCGAGGUCAAACUACCCUCGACGGACACACAAACACACACACACGAACACGCACACACACACACUCGCAUACAAACUCACCAGAAGACCUCUAUGCACAGGUCAGAAAAGGGCAGUGACCACACGAUUUAGGUGUGUGCAGAGUGCGAUUUGUCAGAAAUCCAGAAGGGGGGAUAUGUUUCAGAUUUUAAGCAAUAUCAAUGGAAUUACAUUGAACGGUGAUACAAUCAUUUAGAAAAAGUGGCGAUAUCAAGACCAGAAGGGGGGACAAUCCCCCCCAUCCCUCCUUACAAAUCGCACCCUGGCAGAGGUGGAAAGAGUACUAAAAUAUUGUACUCAAGUACAAGUACUGUUACUCUGUUGAAAAUGUACUCAAGUAUGAGUAAAUUUACCAGUCAAAAAAUCUACUCAAGUAAAAGUAAAAAGUAAAUAAUUUAAAAUAUACUUUGAGUAAAAGUAAAAAGUUACUUUUUAACAAUCAGCGUUUUCUGCCUCUAGAUGUGCAAGGGGUGCACUGGGUUAGAGGAAGAACAGCUAAUGUUGAGUUAAGUGAAUCUCCAUCGUCAGCCUCAUCAUUUGAGUGAGAGACAGGUCCC
Molecule: long non-coding RNA, 853 nt
Organism: Engraulis encrasicolus (European anchovy)
Lineage: Eukaryota; Metazoa; Chordata; Actinopteri; Clupeiformes; Engraulidae
Exons: 3
Source: RefSeq, a predicted model, not a curated record